CCGAGUAGGCGGCAGGUUGUAGCCCUGUGCAGGCGGGUAUUAACCCCGUCCUUACCAA
RNAcentral lists this transfer RNA (58 nucleotides) under Trachylepis perrotetii. RNAcentral's name for it is "partial tRNA-Tyr". The record is from RNAcentral. Lineage: Eukaryota; Metazoa; Chordata; Lepidosauria; Squamata; Scincidae.